This 516-nucleotide ribosomal RNA is filed under the name bacterium enrichment culture clone ALO1_GLFRUDD03GYRG2. RNAcentral's name for it is "bacterial SSU rRNA". It matches the Rfam family "Bacterial small subunit ribosomal RNA", at positions 9 to 517 of the family's 1533-position model. The record is from RNAcentral.
GAGUUUGAUCGUGGCUCAGAUUGAACGCUGGCGGCAGGCCUAACACAUGCAAGUCGAGCGGAUGACGGGAGCUUGCUCCUUGAUUCAGCGGCGGACGGGUGAGUAAUGCCUGGGAAUCUGCCUGGUAGUGGGGGACAACGUUUCGAAAGGAACGCUAAUACCGCAUACGUCCUACGGGAGAAAGCAGGGGACCUUCGGGCCUUGCGCUAUCAGAUGAGCCUAGGUCGGAUUAGCUAGUUGGUGGGGUAAUGGCUCACCAAGGCGACGAUCCGUAACUGGUCUGAGAGGAUGAUCAGUCACACUGGAACUGAGACACGGUCCAGACUCCUACGGGAGGCAGCAGUGGGGAAUAUUGGACAAUGGGCGAAAGCCUGAUCCAGCCAUGCCGCGUGUGUGAAGAAGGGUCUUCGGAUUGUAAAGCACUUUAAGUUGGGAGGAAGGGCAGUAAGUUAAUACCUUGCUGUUUUUGACGUUUACCGACAGAAUAAGCACCGGCUAACUCUGUGCCAGCAGCCG